RNAcentral lists this long non-coding RNA (324 nucleotides) under Setaria viridis. Its description in RNAcentral is "long non-coding RNA (SVIR_LNC011026)". Lineage: Eukaryota; Viridiplantae; Streptophyta; Magnoliopsida; Poales; Poaceae. The record is from RNAcentral.
GACGGACAGUGAAAUCUCACAUAGAUCCUCAGUUUCCUGUGUGCCCAUAAAUGUACGUUGUGGUGGUGAGAUUGGGAUGUUUUAGAAGAAUAACACACCCAAUGUACGCAAAUGGGAAAUACCUCAUGGAUUCCCACGUACUAAAAGCAUAGGGAACUGAUAAAUGCAAUUAAUCAGAAGUCAGGAGUGUGUAAAACUACCUAACUCCACCAAAGAUGUUGGAAAUGGCAAUUUAUUAGUGAUGGUCAUAUGAUGACCUUGAAUGUCUGAAUCAUAGAUUUUUCAUAUCCAUUGUGGAUAUAAUCAUGAAUACCUAGGCAAUAC